CUACACAUGCAGUCGACGGUAGCACAGAGGAGCUUGCUCCCUUGGGUGACGAGUGGCGGACGGGUGAGUAAUGUCUGGGAACUGCCCGAUGGAGGGGGAUAACUACUGGAAACGGUAGCUAAUACCGCAUAACGUCGCAAGACCAAAGAGGGGGACCUUCGGGCCUCUUGCCAUCGGAUGUGCCCAGAUGGGAUUAGCUAGUAGGUGGGGUAACGGCUCACCUAGGCGACGAUCCCUAGCUGGUCUGAGAGGAUGACCAGCCACACUGGAACUGAGACACGGUCCAGACUCCUACGGGAGGCAGCAGUGGGGAAUAUUGCACAAUGGG
This 328-nucleotide ribosomal RNA is filed under the name bacterium ocnta48lb835offp11.19. RNAcentral describes it as "bacterial SSU rRNA". It matches the Rfam family "Bacterial small subunit ribosomal RNA", at positions 49 to 375 of the family's 1533-position model. The record is from RNAcentral.